UUACAAUUUCUUAGUUCGGCGAGUUAACGAUCAUCCUUGCAGAACUCUUACAUGACCCUGCAAAAAGGUUUGAUUUACCUUAACUUUCUGUGCAUGGAAUCAUGGAUCUUCAUCAUCAAAUACAAAUUAUCAAUAUCAGAAUUUGAAUCACUUUUGAAACCAGAAGAAAGGACAAUAUUGGAGCAAAAUGAAGCUCCUGAUCAUCUUACUAAAAUAUCAAUUGUUAGUUAGUUAAACCUUUGGCGGAUGAUAAACCAAUUCUAGGAUUCUCUUGAGUCUGUCAGACAACCACCACAGCGGGCCAUGCCGAAGUCAAGCUGAGAACAAUCAAAUCCACUUCUGUAGGGUUUGAGAUGCAAUCAGAUCCACUUGAGCUCUGGGGUUCUUGGUGAGUGUUAUUAGCUGACUUGCCUUAUCCUGGCUACUAUUGCUAACCAUGUUCUCUCGAACUGUUUUGGUUAUUGUGUUUAGCAGAGGUUGCCAGCCAAGACAACUUAAUUAGUGGCCGUAACAUUUGAAAAUGGAGGAGAGAUGUAUUUAGCUUAGUCAAAUUCUUAGUUACAGGCCUUAUUCAGGUGCUGCUAUUUUUUUUUUAGCUAAAGGAAUCAUUCUUUAAAGCUUUACACAAUGCUCCAUUAUUUCUGUCAUUUGCUUAUCUCUUUUCAUGCAUUUUCUUCGUUAUUUUCUGUUCCAAUGCAAUUGCAAUAUACCGUUUUUUAGUGAUUCAAAAUGGUUGAUGACAUGUGGAUAUACUCUUAUUUAUUUUUCUCUCUUUAUGACCUGUGAAUUAUUGUGUCUAUGACAUGUCUCACUUGCUUCUUUUCGAACGAAAGUUGUCAUUGGCUUUCCUUUUGAGUCUCUGGCACACCAAAUCGGGUAUUAAAAAAAGCCUAUUCUUCUUCUAAGGUUGAGCUUCAACAAGAAGGUACGUAAAUCAACAGUGGUGGUACUUAUUUGAUUGGGUCUCUGUCUCAUGGUGGCUGCCAUCGGUUAAGUGCACACAAUAAUAUUUAUGGAAAUAGCUUCGAAGAUUGCGAAUGAAAUCACAGUAGGUCAGAGAUUUGCUGCCUAUAUGGUUAUUCUGAUGCGAAAAGAAGGCGUUGUUCUACACAAAAAGUUCUUUUGGGACAGGUGCCUGACAUUGUUGAUGGUGCUGUUGCUGGAGAUACUGUAGCUCUUCAUUGUAGUUUAUACUCUUAUCUAUGUGAAGACGAGGUCACUUUGAUCUUCGUGCAUAUGAGAAGAAUAUACAAAGACCCAUGGUUGAUUUUUACUUCAUAUGUACGUGUCUACAAUUAGAACCAGAGACAACAUAUACUAUCAGUCUUGGCACAAUACUUAAUCUAUGUACUUUUGGGGAAAUUAAACUUAUAGUUCUCAUUAUAUGAAUUUCUUGAUAGAAGUAUAUGAAUUCAUGGUCCAAAUAAUUUUCAAGAACUUGAAUAGGAAAGCAAUAUUUAAAUUUCUCAAAUUGUCUGAAAGAUCGGUUGCUAACAUAGUCCAUUUCUCAAAUUAUCUGAAAGUUCACCUGUAUUGGAAUGCUUUUUCGUUUUUAUUCAUAUUGUUCUUCUCAAAUCGGGCAAGGCGGGGAGUUAAAUGAAGAAUUCUGGUCUGGGGCGAAGCUGAGCUGUACCAAAUCAAAUGGGGACUUGCGCGAAGUCGAGCUUUACCAAAUCAUAUCGGGACUAGGGCGAGGCGAAGCCGAGAUUUACCAAAUCAUAUCAGGACUUGGGCGAGGCGAAGCCGAGCUUUACCAAAUCAAAUCGGGACUGGGGCGAGGCGAAGCCGAGCUUUACCAAAUCAAAUCGGGACUGGGGCGAGGUGAAGCCGAGCUUAACUAAAUCAUAUCGGGACUGGAGCGAGGCGAAGCCGAGAUUUACCAAAUCAAAUGGGGACUUGGGCGAAGCCAAGCUUUACCAAAUAAAAAAUAUGGUUCAAAGAAAGAGGCAUUGAUGCAUUGUAUUUGUAGUUUGUAGUUGUAGAUUGAAUUGGUGAACCAAGUUUGAGAAGUUGCCGGGGGCGUAGCACGGGCACAAAAUC
Long non-coding RNA from Papaver somniferum (opium poppy), 2040 nucleotides. RefSeq lists it as uncharacterized. NCBI's taxonomy places the organism in Eukaryota, Viridiplantae, Streptophyta, Magnoliopsida, Ranunculales, Papaveraceae. The transcript is spliced from 5 exons. The record is from RefSeq and is a predicted model, not a curated record.